CCGAGUUUACAACUCCCAAACCCAAUGUGAACCAUACCUAGACGUUGCUUCGGCGGUACCGCCCCGGCGCCCUCGGGCCCGGAACCAGGCGCCCGCCGGGGGACCAACCAAACCCUUUCAGUGAAUCCCGGGGCCUCCCCGGCGGCAUUAUCUGAGUGAAGCGAAAUAAAAACGCAUCA
Molecule: unclassified non-coding RNA, 179 nt
Filed under: uncultured Ascomycota
Lineage: Eukaryota; Fungi; Ascomycota
Description: sequence contains ITS1
Source: RNAcentral